This is a long non-coding RNA of Haemorhous mexicanus (house finch), 5963 nucleotides long. RefSeq lists it as uncharacterized. The record is from RefSeq and is a predicted model, not a curated record. The transcript is spliced from 4 exons. NCBI's taxonomy places the organism in Eukaryota, Metazoa, Chordata, Aves, Passeriformes, Fringillidae.
AGCCAGAUCGGUAUGCGACCACUCGAACGCAACUGCUGGGCUCGGGCUAUGGUUGCACCCCGAGAGUUGUCCUGUGGGCAAGGCUGGAAGUAGGAAGGGAACUCGCAUUUCCAGGAGCGGGAACGGAUGAAACCGAAUCUUGAAUCGCUGUGGAUCAAAGGAGCUGCUGAAAGGCAUCUGCCAGGCCGUCUCCUCGGAACUUGGUCAAGAUGACUGAUUUUGAGGUUCGGAUCGACCCCCUGCUAAGAAAUCCCCCUAGAACGUAGGAUAACUUCACAGGAAGACGCAAAAUAACGGCAGGUGGUGUUGGAGGCUCUAAAACCAGCCUGACUUGGCACUGGUGCCAGCUUGGGUCUGGGAGGCAACCUGUGCAAUGCGGAAUUUCAGGAGCCAGCCGGUCCCUCCGGGCCACAGACCCUGCAACAUCAACGUUGGCCCUUUUCCGUGGGAAACAAAAGUCAGCAGCCCAGGUUCCUGGUGUCAGUUUGCCGGAGGUACUUGGCACUGUCAAACCAGCCUGACUUGGCACUGGCGCUGAUAGUGGGGCCCUGGGAAAAUAUUAAAAUAGACUCUGAAAUGUUAGGCUUUGUGUUGCACCUGCGUAAGUAGUAUGAUAAAUGGUAUAAUUGUUAGAUGUUAUGUUUGUUUAGUAAUUAAAUAUAAUUAUUGUAUAACCAUAAGAAGAAUCAUGAGAAACUAUGUUGGAAAUCUAAGGGGGGCUAUGCUUGGCUGAAAUCUAUGUAUACAAUAGAACAAUAUAAGUUUAAUAAUUAACAUGAAAGUUAUAUAACGAUAGAAUAUAAAAACAUGUUCAUCCCUAACCCAUGUCAGAUUUCAGAUUUGGAUUUUUACCCCUGACACCCAGAGCUCUUCAAUAAAAGCACCUGCACAUAAUCAUUUUUCGUGAUUAUGUGUUUCUGAACACUAACAUUUUGGAAACCCAGAUGGGACCCUGUGAGUGCUGCUGAGCGAGUUUGUGAUUCGAUCACGCUCCAGCUGGCACCGCGGGAUUCUUGGGGAGCCCAUCAGCUGCGACCACCUCUGCCACUCACAACGUCCCCGGGAGAGAGGGAACUGAAGAAAGACCCAGCUCACCUGGACACGACUUCCACAAGGGGACAAGAACUCACCGACUCUAUUCGGAAACCAACUGGCAAAGGAGCUGGAGAUUUGGAACGAAAAUGGGCAAGUAUCAAGUGACCAAUACCUAUUGUUGCAGUGUGUUGAUGAUAUACUAAUAGCUACAGAAGAAAAAGCAACCUGUAUAAAGGUAACCACUGAGAUUUUUAAUUCCCUGGGAAUGGGAGGUUACAAAGUAUCCAGAGGAAAGGCACAAAUUGCCCAACAGACUGUGAUCUACCUGGGAUGUGAAAUUUCACAAGGGCAACAAAAACUAGGUACUAACCAAGGUAUCCAAGCUAUCUGUGCUAUUCCAGAGCCCCAGAAAUUACAUGACCUGCGAGUCUUCCUUGAGAUGGCAGGAUGGUGUCGCUUGUGGAUCAUGGACAAUGGACCAAUUGCAAAACCCCUGUAUGAAGCUCAGAAGACGCAGCCAUUCACCUGGGGCAAGCCACAGAAAGAAGCCUUCCUAAAAACUAAAGGAAGCACUGACAACUGCUCCAGCAUUAGGGUUACCUGAUCUGUCUAAAGAUUUUCAGCUAUUUGUACAUGAAAGGCUGCGCCUAGCACAAGGAGUCCUGACCCAGCGUCUGGGAAGCUGGAAAAGAUAGGUGGGCUACCUUUCCAAACAACUUGACGACAUAAGUGCCAGGUGGCCUUCAUGUCUGCGGGCAGUCACAGUCACUGUGAUACUGAUACAAGAAGCCGGGAAGCUUACUAUGGGAAAGCACAUAGAUGUCUAUGUACUACACAUGGUAACCACUGUCUUAGAGCAGAAGGAGGGCCAUUGGCUAUCUCCAAGCAGGAUGAUAAAAUUCCAGGUAGUCCUGACUGAGUAGGAUGAUGUCACAUUAAAAACAACUAACCUUUUGAAUCCAGCUUUGUUCCGAGGUACCACAACUGAAGAAGGCCCAUUAGAGCACGACUGUGUAGAGGUAAUAGAGUACACCUAUUCAGCAAGAGAAGACUUGAAAGACGUCCCACUAGAGCAGCCGGAGUGGGAGCUAUUUACAGAUGGGAGCAGCUUCGUGGAAAACGGAACCAGAUACGCUGGAUAUGCGGUAACAACAGUCAGUACAGUAGUGGAAGCAAAAGCAUUACCACCAAAUAGAUCUGCCCAGAAGGCAGAACUGGUUGCUUUAACCAGGGCACUAGAAUUAGGUGAGGGAAAAAAGGUAAAUAUAUGGACUGACUCAAAAUAUACUUUUGGAGUGGGGCAUGUACAUGGAGCACUGUGGAAAGAAAGAGGAUUAUUGUCUUCUCGAGGUAUGCACAUUAAACACCAAGAUGCAGUCCUGCAACUGAUAAAAGCAGUACAAAAACCUGAACAAGUGGCAAUUAUACACUGUAAAGCACACCAAUCAGGAAACUCCAAAAUCUGUGAGGGAAAUCGAAAGGCAGACUGGGCAAUGCAACAGGUUGCUCGAGAGGUGCAAACAAAAGUGGCAUUUAUGCCUUUAAAGCUUAACGUAUCCUAAUUUAAUUUGUCUCCAAAACCAAAAUAUUCAGUAGAAGAUGAGAGACUGGCACGUUUACUAAAUGCACAAAAGAAUUCGGAAGGAUGGUAUGUGACUGCACAAGGACAGAUAGUGGCACCCCCCACUUGAUAAUGAGAGAAGUUCUACAAAUGAAACAUAACAAAUGUCAUUGGGGUGCAGAGGCAUUGGUAAAAUUGCUAAAGCAGAGUUUAAUUUCGGUACGAAUGUUAACAAUGGCAAAAUCAGUCAUGUCAAAAUGUGAUAUCUGCUUGAAAAACAACCCAGUGGCUAGGCGACAGGCACAGCUAGGAAGAAUUUGGAUAGGAAUAGAGCCAGGAAACUAUUGGCAGGUAGAUUUUGUAGAAUUGCCAAGAACUUGAGAAUACAAAUACCUGUUAGUGGGGGUUGACACAUUUUCUAGAUGGCCAGAAGCCCUUCCCUGUCACACAAACCAAGCAAAGGAAACAGUUAAGUGGUUACUACAGGAAAUUAUUCCCAGGUUCGGGGUACCCCUAGGGGUAUCAACAGAUAGGGGACCCCAUUUCAUAGCUACAGUAGUAAAAGAGGCAAGUAGGUUGCUGGGGAUAACUUGGGACCUCCACACACCGUGGAGACCCCAGUCAAGUGGACAGGUAGAGAGGAUGAAUCAGACACUAAAAAGGCAAAUCAGUAAAAUAUGCCAAGAAGCCAUGCUGCAGUGGCCCCAGGCUUUGCCAAUAGCACUGUUGAGGAUUACGAUAAAACUUAGGAGCAGGAUGUCAGUCAGUUGUUAUGAGAUAUUGUAUGGGAAACCAUAUGAAUCUCCUGAGCCUAACACUAAUGUACACGUCACAGGAAAGCCGGAAGUGUAUAAUUAUGUUCUGUCUCUCGGGAAAACUUUAGCCCGGCUCCAGAACAUCAUCGUGUGGAAUAGACCACUAACUCUCAAGAAUCCAGUUCAUAACAUACAUCCAGGAGAUGAGGUGUACAUCAAAAACCGGAACGAAGAACCGCUGAAAGAAAAGUGGAGUGGACCCUAUUAGGUACUGCUGACCACCUUUACAGCAGUCAAAGUAGCCGGCGUGGACCCCUGGAUUCACUAUACCCGAGUGAAGAAAGUCUAUCCUGGAUCACAGACUGUGUAAACUGUGGAACCAAGACUGCAGAUAAGAUGUGUUUAAUUACUUUGAGAAUGCAAUUAUUAAUUGUGCUAAUGUUAUGGUCAUUAAUGUCUUUGGGAUGUGGAAUGCAAAAAGAUCUCUAACUAACCACUCUCCAUUCUAGAAUGAAGAGAGAGGUACAAGCAGAAGCACAGGUGAUAAAAAUUUCUAAUGCAGUUUGGGCUGAGAAUGUAAUGAUUGGAUUAGUCAAAGAUUUUACCAAAAUACAAAACACCACUAGAAUAACUGCCCGUCUGCCAAUACCAAAGGCAGCAGGAGACCCAGUAAAUUGGGGAAUCAUAACAUCAAAACUACCUGAAAUACAAAAGAACAAAACAAUUGCAUGCAAACAGGUACCCGAGUUGAGGCAAGUAGUCGAGGCAAGUAGUCAUGUUCCUGUUUUCUUGGGAGAAAAUAGGAAUAUGGAUAAGAUCUAUGAGCCAGAAAGACUGUAUUCUAAGUGAUGGCAUACUAGGGACUCCUAUGAGACAGUCGAGAGGCAUCACACAAUGGCAAUGCUAUUUGCCACACUAUAAAAAGAUCAUAGAAAAUGUUACAGAAACCACUCUGGUAUGGAAGUGUGAGGCCGAGGAUCAGAAAGAUCAGAUAGAGCCUUGGGACAGUGCAUAGUCUCUGAGUAUACUUUAAAAAUUCCAAUAUAUAGCAAACACCCCUUGGUGUAUUAAGUGGGAAGGCUCCGAGAAUGAAACAGAUCCAGCAGUAACGUACACUGACACCAGUAGCAGAACGUGGGCAGACAAAGUAAGUCGGUGGGCAUGCAAUAAAACUUAUGACUGCACUUCUGAUGAUGCAGAGAUAAAACAGAUGCCACCCCUGGCAAUAGCCCUACAAAUUGGUUGUGCUUGCAGAGGGAUCAAACAUAAACAAGGCAAAAUGAAUUAUAAAGUGAUUAUAGGAUGUACCAGGAGUACAAUUAAAAGUCCAGGACAACUUGUAUGGGCAACAAACAGUGGUACCUGGACAACGUAUAUGCCUGUAGAUGGGAAAGUAAAGGAAAUUACUUUGGGCCUCCCAAUCUUACGUCCAAUUUGGAAAAAGUCCCCAUUUAAUGGAAAACAUGAACUUCUGCAGAUAAGAGCAAGACAAGAAGUUCUAGACAAUAAAAAAUCCAGAUGACACUUGGCAAGAACCCUCUAGUGGAGUGAAAUUUGGGUGGGCCCUAGAGUCUUUGCUUGGUCCUAUGGCAAACUAUCAGAGUAGAGAGAUGCCGUACAAACUUACAGGUCAGGUAGAUAGACUGGCAAGAGUCACCUGGGAAGGAUUUAAAGAAUUAAAUGUACAAUUACAAGCUACCAUAAAAAUGACUUUACAAAAUCGAUUAGCCUUAGAUUUGUUACUCCUGCAAGAACAUGGAGUAUAUGGAUUUUUAAAGGGACGAGUUGAUCAUUGCUGCGUUCACAUCCCAAAUGUAACUGCAGAUGUAGAAUAUGACAUCAAUCAGUUGAAACAAAUAGAGCAUGAAGCACAAGAAGAACAAAAGGAUUCGACUACAAGCUGGUUAGGAAAACCUUUAAAGGGUUAGGGUGGAAUGUGAGUUCAUGGAUUAAAUCUAUCAUUGAGAGUGUGAUAAUCUUACUAAUUGUAUUCUUAGCAAUUUGGUUAGUUUACAGCAUCUUAAAGGAGGAGAUACAGAAGAAAUCAUACUGGAACCAGAAAAUAACAAAGGCACUGACACAAGAUUCACACCAUCUAUUUUCUGGUUCUCCAGUUCGUGAUAGCAUCCAUGGCAAUGUUUACAUCAACCCUAGAUUUGAAGAACAUCGAAUAUAAAUUGAUAAGUAAAGGACUGUAUCAAGUGGAAACAUUAACACAUAUAGUGAAGUGAAGUUGCUUUCAAAGGGAGGAGAAUGUUAGUGGGGCCCUGGGAAAAUGUUAAAAUAGACUCUGAAAUGUUAGGCUUUGUGUUGCACCUGCGUAAAUGUAUGAUAAAUGAUAUAAUUGUUAGAUGUGAUGAUUGUUUAGUAAUUAAAUAUAAUUAUUGUAUAAUCAUAAGAAGAAUCAUGAGAAACUAUGUUGGAAAUCUAAGGGGGGCUAUGCUUGGCUGAAAUCUAUGUAUACAAUAGAACAAUGUAAGUUUAAUAAUUAACAUGAAAGUUAUAUAACGAUAGAAUAUAAAAACAUGUUCAUCCCUAACCCAUGUCAGAUUUCAGAUUUGGAUUUGUACCCCUGACGCCCAGAGUUCUUCAAUAAAAGCACCUGCACAUAA